GAGAAACUUGUAGAGGUUAUGGGAUUGGCUUGAAACAGUCUGUGGAGGUUCUAUUCCUUCCUUUUUCA
RNAcentral lists this transfer RNA (68 nucleotides) under Homo sapiens (human). RNAcentral describes it as "tRNA-pseudo Likely pseudogene". Lineage: Eukaryota; Metazoa; Chordata; Mammalia; Primates; Hominidae. The record is from RNAcentral.